GAGUUUGAUCAUGGCUCAGGACGAACGCUGGCGGCGUGCUUAACACAUGCAAGUUGAACGGGGCAUAUUUGAAGGGUAACCGGAGGGUAUGUCUAGUGGCGAACGGGUGAGUAAUGCAUGAGAACGUAUCCUCAAGAGGGGGACAACAUUGGGAAACCGAUGCUAAUACCCCAUAAGCCGGGAGGUAAAAGGAGCAAUCCGCUUGAGGAGCGGUUCAUGUCCUAUCAGCUAGUUGGUGAGGUAACGGCUCACCAAGGCGAAGACGGGUAGCCGGCCUGAGAGGGUGAACGGCCACACUGGAACUGAGAGACGGUCCAGACUCCUACGGGAGGCAGCAGUGGGGAAUAUUGGGCAAUGGGGGAAACCCUGACCCAGCGACGCCGCGUGAGGGAAGAAGGCCUUAGGGUCGUAAACCUCUGUUGUGUGGGAAGAAGAGCGUGACGGUACCACACGAGGAAGUCCCGGCUAACUACGUGCCAGCAGCCGCGGUAAUACGUAGGGGACGAGCGUUGUCCGGAUUUACUGGGCGUAAAGGGCGCGUAGGCGGUCAUUUAAGUCAGCUGUGAAAUGGUUUGGCUUAACCGGAUCAUGCGGUUGAAACUGGAUGACUGGAGUGCUGGAGAGGCAAGUGGAGUUCCCAGUGUAGCGGUGAAAUGCGUAGAUAUUGGGAAGAACACCGGUGGCGAAGGCGACUUGCUGGCCAGCAACUGACGCUCAGGUACGAAAGCUAGGGUAGCAAACGGGAUUAGAGACCCCGGUAGUCCUAGCCGUAAACAAUGAGUACUAGCUGCUUCUUUUUUAAGGGGUGGCGUAAGCUAACGCGUUAAGUAUUCCGCCUGGGUAGUACGGCCGCAAGGUUAAAACUCAAAGGAAUUGACG
This 879-nucleotide ribosomal RNA is filed under the name uncultured bacterium. RNAcentral's name for it is "bacterial SSU rRNA". It matches the Rfam family "Bacterial small subunit ribosomal RNA", at positions 9 to 915 of the family's 1533-position model. The record is from RNAcentral.